GAUGAACGCUGGCGGCGUGCCUAAUACAUGCAAGUCGAGCGAACAGACGAGGAGCUUGCUCCUCUGACGUUAGCGGCGGACGGGUGAGUAACACGUGGAUAACCUACCUAUAAGACUGGGAUAACUUCGGGAAACCGGAGCUAAUACCGGAUAAUAUAUUGAACCGCAUGGUUCAAUAGUGAAAGACGGUUUUGCUGUCACUUAUAGAUGGAUCCGCGCCGCAUUAGCUAGUUGGUAAGGUAACGGCUUACCAAGGCAACGAUGCGUAGCCGACCUGAGAGGGUGAUCGGCCACACUGGAACUGAGACACGGUCCAGACUCCUACGGGAGGCAGCAGUAGGGAAUCUUCCGCAAUGGGCGAAAGCCUGACGGAGCAACGCCGCGUGAGUGAUGAAGGUCUUCGGAUCGUAAAACUCUGUUAUUAGGGAAGAACAAAUGUGUAAGUAACUAUGCACGUCUUGACGGUACCUAAUCAGAAAGCCACGGCUAGCUACGUA
Molecule: ribosomal RNA, 497 nt
Filed under: uncultured bacterium
Lineage: Bacteria
Description: partial 16S ribosomal RNA
Rfam family: Bacterial small subunit ribosomal RNA
Source: RNAcentral